GCGACGGGUGAGUAACACGUGGGCAAUCUGCCCUGCACUCUGGGAAAGACAAAAGAAACGGGGUCUAAUACCGGAUACGAGCCUCCUGGGCACUGGGAGGUUGGAAAGCUCCGGCGGUGCAGGAUGAGCCCGCGGCCUAUCAGCUUGUUGGUGAGGUAACGGCUCACCAAGGCGACGACGGGUAGCCGGCCUGAGAGGGCGACCGGCCACACUGGGACUGAGACACGGCCCAGACUCCUACGGGAGGCAGCAGUGGGGAAUAUUGCACAAUGGGCGCAAGCCUGAUGCAGCGACGCCGCGUGAGGGAUGACGGCCUUCGGGUUGUAAACCUCUUUCAGCAGGGAAGAAGCGAGAGUGACGGUACCUGCAGAAGAAGCGCCGGCUAACUACGUGCCAGCAGCCGCGGUAAUACGUAGGGCGCAAGCGUUGUCCGGAAUUAUUGGGCGUAAAGAGCUCGUAGGCGGCUUGUCGCGUCGAUUGUGAAAGCCCGGGGCUUAACUCCGGGUCUGCAGUCGAUACGGGCAGGCUAGAGUGUGGUAGGGGAGAUCGGAAUUCCUGGUGUAGCGGUGAAAUGCGCAUAUAUCAGGAGGAACACCGGUGGCGAAGGCGGAUCUCUGGGCCAUUACUGACGCUGAGGAGCGAAAGCGUGGGGGAGCGAACAGGAUUAGAUACCCUGGUAGUCCACGCCGUAAACGGUGGGGCACUAGGUGUUGGCGACAAUUCCACGGUCGUCGGUGCCGCAGCUAACGCAUUAAGUGCCCCCGCCCUGGGGAGUACGGGCCGCAAGGCUUAAACUUCACAGGGAAUUGGACGGGGGGCCCGCACAAGCGGGCCGGAGCCAUGGUGGGCUUUAAUU
RNAcentral lists this ribosomal RNA (856 nucleotides) under Streptomyces sp. RNAcentral's name for it is "bacterial SSU rRNA". It matches the Rfam family "Bacterial small subunit ribosomal RNA", at positions 99 to 951 of the family's 1533-position model. Lineage: Bacteria; Bacillati; Actinomycetota; Actinomycetes; Kitasatosporales; Streptomycetaceae. The record is from RNAcentral.